CUGGAAUCGUGCAUACACUUUAUUACAUGUACUUUAACAUAUUUACAAAUAUGAAUGGAAAAUCUGGUUUGAUCUUUAAUCAAAAUGCGAAAAAUUUGAUCUUUAAUCAAAAUGCGGCCUAUAGGCUAUAUAUAAUCUAUACAGCUAUUUCAAUUAAGGUUGUCCCCGACCAAAGAGGAAAAGUCGAACACAAGCGCGAAAGCUAGUGCGAAUCCCAGCAGCCUUUCGCGCUCGUAUUCGACUUUUCCAAAUUCCGCUUUGCUCGGGGACAACCUUAAUCCGUGGUGUAGCCGUGGAAUGUUAACAAGGGGGGCUCUCCAACAGCGGGCGAAACUUCAGUAUUACGGCUGGGGGGGGUGAGCUUGUUUUGCUCAACCGAAAGAGCCUUUCUGAAGUCGUUCCUGAGAGACGAACAAUUGACCAGUCGCUAAUUAAUAUUUCUUCUCCCAAAAUAGUUGGUGAGCGGAGUAUUUUUCACUACCACUUUUCCCUACCACUAUUACUUUUCAAUCUGAGACACUCGAAUAUUUUCGAAAUUUGCCCGACUAAAUUGUAUGGGUAUAACUGAUGGGAUAGAUGGGUAGUAGAUGGGUAGAUGGGUAGUAGAUGGGAUAGAUGGGUAGGGUAGUUUCGUCCCUGUUCUCCGAAAGUGUCCUGAACUGGCAAGGGGGGGGGGGAGGUGUUUACAAUAUGAUACAGUAUUUUGGAAAUUCUAAAUUAUUUGGGGUUUUUUUCUAAUAAUUGUGGGACAAACAUUUAAAAUUAUGCUUAUUAAAAACAAUUGCCGUUAGUAAUAUAAAAUAUUCUAAGCAUCUCAAAAGAGUAUGUAAUUCAAGGUUUCUCUACCACUUUUUGUAGAUGCAAUUCUAAAGAACAUUCUCGUUUAAGAUUAUUCAAAAAUUAUAGGGCGGGGGCUCACCCCCCCCCCCCCAAGUUAACAUGAAAUUUUAACAGGGGGCUGAGCCCCUCUCCACUACACUACUGAAAUGAAUUGAAAUAGCUGUGUAUACUAUGGUACGCAAAGUUUGCCAAAAGUUUGGCCCUAUCAAAAUGUAGAAUAUUCCAAUAUUCACAAUAUUGGUUGAAUAAUAAAACAGGUCAAGUAAAGUUUCUUUGGAUUUUUCGCUACUCAUAAAUAUUGUACAAAGCAAAAGUAACUCUAUGCAACGAUAUCAUUAAUCACUACCUACACUGACACUGCUUACACAAUUUCCACACUGUCCUAGAAUGUGAAUAUAUUAUUUGUUCAUUUAACCUUCAAUCACAAUCAGUUCCUCCUUCGGAAAAUCUUUCCUCCGUAAAUGUCAAUUAUAAAGGCAUUCAGGGUCAUCCAUUAAUUUUCUUGCAUUACAAGGUUUGUGUCUACUGGAGACAUAUGAUGUAAGAUUGAAGAAAAUUCCAUGAGUACCAGGAUACUGUAGGAUUGUGAGGAUCUGUGCACAUCUAUCUAGCAAAGGAUACAAAACAGCAAAUGUAUUACAGUAAUUAAUGUAUUAAGAAAAAAAACAAUGGUUAAGUAUAUCCUACUCACAUGAGACAUGUAUGGAAAAGCAGAACAUAUUUGCCAAUAUUGGAAUGAAUCUUGGGUGGAUGCAUUAUUAAGGGUGGUGAAUGCAUUAUUAUAGGGCAUUCUCCUCCGGAAAAUGUUUGGAAUUUGAAGUCAUGAAUGCCAUUUCCUGCAUUCUGAGCAAUUAACAUCGAUCUAUAUUUAUUAAAUUUGUCCUCAACAAUUAGGAAAGUAAACCUUACACUCUCUCCCUCAAAAUAAAAUUGUCUGGUGUCA
This 1783-nucleotide long non-coding RNA is filed under the name Paramuricea clavata. The record is from RNAcentral. Lineage: Eukaryota; Metazoa; Cnidaria; Anthozoa; Malacalcyonacea; Plexauridae.